RNAcentral lists this ribosomal RNA (110 nucleotides) under Castor canadensis (American beaver). The record is from RNAcentral. Lineage: Eukaryota; Metazoa; Chordata; Mammalia; Rodentia; Castoridae.
AUCUAUGGCCAUACCCGCUAAGUGCGCCCGAUCUCCUCUGAUCUCAGAGCUAAGCAGGGUCGGGCCUGGUUAGUACUUGGAUGGGAGACUCUACUAUCCUGUUAUUAAUA